This 716-nucleotide ribosomal RNA is filed under the name uncultured bacterium. RNAcentral's name for it is "bacterial SSU rRNA". It matches the Rfam family "Bacterial small subunit ribosomal RNA", at positions 532 to 1249 of the family's 1533-position model. The record is from RNAcentral.
UCCCGAGCGUUNUCCGGAUUUAUUGGGCGUAAAGCGAGCGCAGGCGGUUAGAUAAGUCUGAAGUUAAAGGCUGUGGCUUAACCAUAGUACGCUUUGGAAACUGUUUAACUUGAGUGCGGAAGGGGAGAGUGGAAUUCCAUGUGUAGCGGUGAAAUGCGUAGAUAUAUGGAGGAACACCGGUGGCGAAAGCGGCUCUCUGGUCUGUAACUGACGCUGAGGCUCGAAAGCGUGGGGAGCGAACAGGAUUAGAUACCCUGGUAGUCCACGCCGUAAACGAUGAGUGCUAGGUGUUAGGCCCUUUCCGGGGCUUAGUGCCGCAGCUAACGCAUUAAGCACUCCGCCUGGGGAGUACGACCGCAAGGUUGAAACUCAAAGGAAUUGACGGGGGCCCGCACAAGCGGUGGAGCAUGUGGUUUAAUUCGAAGCAACGCGAAGAACCUUACCAGGUCUUGACAUCCCGAUGCCCGCUCUAGAGAUAGAGUUUUACUUCGGUACAUCGGUGACAGGUGGUGCAUGGUUGUCGUCAGCUCGUGUCGUGAGAUGUUGGGUUAAGUCCCGCAACGAGCGCAACCCUUAUUGUUAGUUGCUAUCAUUCAGUUGGGCACUCUAGCGAGACUGCCGGUAAUAAACCGGAGGAAGGUGGGGAUGACGUCAAAUCAUCAUGCCCCUUAUGACCUGGGCUACACACGUGCUACAAUGGCUGGUACAACGAGUCG